UACGAAGGGCGCAAGCGUUACUCGGAAUUACUGGGCGUAAAGCGUGCGUAGGUGGUUUGUUAAGUCUGUUGUGAAAGCCCCGGGCUCAACCUGGGAAUGGCAAUGGAUACUGGCAGGCUAGAGUGCGGUAGAGGGUAGUGGAAUUCCCGGUGUAGAGGUGAAAUUCGUAGAUAUCGGGAGGAACACCUGUGGCGAAGGCGGCCAUCUGGACGACGAUUGACGCUGAGACGCGAAAGCGUGGGGAGCAAACAGG
RNAcentral lists this ribosomal RNA (253 nucleotides) under uncultured bacterium. RNAcentral describes it as "partial 16S ribosomal RNA". It matches the Rfam family "Bacterial small subunit ribosomal RNA", at positions 524 to 776 of the family's 1533-position model. The record is from RNAcentral.